AAGUCAUAACAAGGUUUCCGUAGGUGAACCUGCGGAAGGAUCAUUAAUAGUGCCUCUGAUGCAAAUCAUUGGGUUAGAUCUGCUCUCUUCGCAAGAAGAGGGUUUCCAUACACACCGUGAACUGUGGCUUUGGCCAUCACAAACUGUUAGUAAUGAAUGUAAUAUCAUAACAAAACAAAA
Molecule: unclassified non-coding RNA, 180 nt
Filed under: plant metagenome
Description: partial contains small subunit ribosomal RNA and internal transcribed spacer 1
Rfam family: Eukaryotic small subunit ribosomal RNA (bases 1-46)
Source: RNAcentral